This 440-nucleotide ribosomal RNA is filed under the name uncultured bacterium. Its description in RNAcentral is "partial 16S ribosomal RNA". It matches the Rfam family "Bacterial small subunit ribosomal RNA", at positions 338 to 795 of the family's 1533-position model. The record is from RNAcentral.
CCUACGGGCGGCAGCAGUGGGGGAUAUUGCACAAUGGGCGCAAGCCUGAUGCAGCGACGCCGCGUGAGCGAAGAAGUACUUCGGUAUGUAAAGCUCUAUCAGCAGGGAAGAAAAUGACGGUACCUGACUAAGAAGCUCCGGCUAAAUACGUGCCAGCAGCCGCGGUCAUACGUAGGGAGCAAGCGUUAUCCGGAUUUACUGGGUGUAAAGGGAGCGGAGGCGGCCAUGUAAGUCAGAUGUGAAAAAGUGGGGCCCAACCCCAAGCCUGCGUUGGAAACUGCAGGGCUUGAGUGCAGUAGAGGCAGGCGGAAUGCCUGGUGUAGCGGUGAAAUGCGGAGAUAUUAGGAGGAACACCAGUGGCGAAGGCGGCCUGCUGGACGGUAACUGACGCUGAGGCCCGAAAGCGUGGGGAGCAAACAGGAUUAGAUACCCUUGUAGUC